RNAcentral lists this ribosomal RNA (606 nucleotides) under Triticum aestivum (bread wheat). RNAcentral's name for it is "partial small subunit ribosomal RNA". The record is from RNAcentral. Lineage: Eukaryota; Viridiplantae; Streptophyta; Magnoliopsida; Poales; Poaceae.
AUGGCGGCGGAGGGAGAGGCCCUCAUGGCAGCGGAGAGGGCAGAGACGUCGACUGCACCGGCGGUGGCGACGGAAUCAGGAGCAAACGGGAAACCGGCGGCGAGCGGGAAGCCAGCGAUGGUGCUGGGGAUCGACGAGAGCGAGCACAGCUACUACGCGCUGGAAUGGACGAUCCACCAUUUCUUCGCCCCCGGCCAGCCGCAGCAGUACCACCUCAUCGUGGUCAGCGCCAAGCCCCCUGCCUCCUCCGUCAUCGGCAUUGCCGGCAUAGGCACGGCGGAGCUGCUCCCGAGGGUGGAGCUCGACCUCAAGCGCGCCUCCGCCAGAGUCAUCGACAAGGCCAAGGAGCACUGCUCACAUGUGACCGAUGUCAGCUAUGAAGUGAAAGAGGGCGACGCGAGGAAUGUGCUGUGCGAGGCAGUUGAGAGGCACCAUGCAGACAUGCUGGUUAUGGGCAGCCAUGGCUACGGUGCUUUCAAGAGGGCCGUCCUUGGGAGCGUGAGCGAUUACUGCACUCACAACGCGCACUGCACCGUGAUGAUAGUGAAGAAACCAAAGCACCAUAAGAAGCAUGAACAAUUGGGGUUCCACAGAAAGGAGGCUUGA